UUGACAACAGGAACAUUAAUAAAGUAUUUUCAAAUUUAGCUUUGAAUUAAUUAAAAGUUUUAAAAAUUAAAAAUACUAAUAAAUUAUUCUGAAUAUUAAAAUGUUUACAACUUAAAUAAUUUGAUUCUUCAUAACUAAAAACCUUAUUAUUGUGUUAACAUGUUAUUACUAUCACCUAUUUAAACCAGUUUAAGUUUUUAAUUUUUAUAUGUCAUUCGUCCAACAUAAAUGAUACCAGUAUAAGUGCUCUUGUUCGCGCGUCAAGGAGCUGAAAAGGAUAUGUGACAUUUUGAAAAUAAUGAGAUGCGUGCCAAACUUUCAAUUAAUAAUAGUUAAAAUUUUUAAUAACGUUCAAAUGUCAAAGAACGAAGGUAGAUAAGAAUAUUAACGGAAUAUCUAAAGAACCUGAUCAAAUUGAAAGUGCAACGAUCAUCUUCGCACUGAAACAUCAGCCUUGACUACUACUGGCUAAAUACAUACAAACACUAGUUAAUAGAAAUAUGCUGUCCAAUCCUUUUUGCCCAAGAUGAUUAUCAGAAUUGUUUGUAUGUUUUCCUUUAUUGUUCAAUUCCUCAAAUCCAUUGAAAAAUGCACCAUGUAAACGAAAAAGACAACAAUAAUAGUAAUGUUUCCAACUAUACUCAACUAGAAGUGGGAUUAAAUAUUGAGCAUUUCAUUGAAAAUAUUUGAAAGGAUUAAAUACUUUUGUUGUAGUAGGUAAUCCUGGUGCUUUUAUAUAAAUAUAAAGUUUAUUAAAUAAACCAACUGAAAAAUUUGUAUUAUGCUCAUUUGUUUCUUAGAAUAUUUAGUGUAUUACCCACGUUCGGUUGCGAUGUCUUGGUAAUGAAAAUUAUAAAUAAAAGAUUUGUAGAACAUUGUGUUUUAAAUUUAAGUAACGACAAUGUAUAGUUGACUAAUUUUGAUUAUCAUUCAAGUAUUAAGGAGUUUCCAACUCUACCUAGGGCAGUAGCAAAGGCUGACAAAAGGUACCUACGCCUCGGGCAAAAAUUUUGAAGGAGCGUAUAAUUUAAGAAAUUAGAAAUAUAUUGAUAUAUAAAUAUUAAAUUUAUUGUAAAAAUAGCGGCAUAUCGUUUCAUUAAAUGAUGUUUUCAGUCAAAUCCGCCUGACUAGGUCCGUUGGUCUAUAGUUUACACCUUUUUAACACAUGAAAAAAAAAAAUUGUUUAUAAAAUAAUCUGUUGUCGUCGAUUAACUGUCACACCUGACCCAUAUACACCAGAGUGCCCAGAUAAUGUCAUACGAAGGACGCAUUUUGAAGUUUCUCUCCGGAUGCAAUAUAUGGUUGUUAUGGGCCUGAUUCUACUUUUACAAACUCAAACGGUUUACAAUGGUGGAAUGCAUUAUGGUGAUCAUACAUUUAUCAAAUGUGGACGAUGGCUGACAAUGAUGAUGACUCUGGAGUAAAGAUGGACAAAGACGUCAUACUAUUCACAAUAAUUUGGAACACAACUAAGAGCUGAAAACCAUUUGGAGGUGAUAGGAUAUAUUUCCGAAAUAGUGUGGUCAUGAAUCACUUAAACCUAAUUGUAGUAGAUCUUUGGCUUACAGACGAGGCAUUUCAUAGAAAAUUAAAAAUUAGUUAGUCAUAUUUUUUUAAUAAUUAAUUUUUUUUAAAUAAUAGUUUGUUAAAUCGUAAUUUUAUCAAAAAUUAAGAUGUUUUCUUAAAAUAUGAAAAAAACAUGAUAUAAC
Molecule: long non-coding RNA, 1709 nt
Organism: Daktulosphaira vitifoliae (grape phylloxera)
Lineage: Eukaryota; Metazoa; Arthropoda; Insecta; Hemiptera; Phylloxeridae
Exons: 4
Source: RefSeq, a predicted model, not a curated record